This 325-nucleotide ribosomal RNA is filed under the name uncultured eukaryote. Its description in RNAcentral is "partial 18S ribosomal RNA". It matches the Rfam family "Eukaryotic small subunit ribosomal RNA", at positions 1470 to 1796 of the family's 1831-position model. The record is from RNAcentral.
CCCUUAGAUGGUCUGGGCGGCACGCGCGCUACACUGAUGCAUUCAACGAGCCUAUCCUUGACCGACAGGUCCGGGUAAUCUUUGAAUCUGCAUCGUGACGGGGAUAGAUUAUUGCAAUUAUUAAUCUUCAACGAGGAAUGCCUAGUAGGCGCAAGUCAUCAGCUUGCGUCGAUUACGUCCCUGCCCUUUGUACACACCGCCCGUCGCUCCUACCGAUUGGGUGUGCUGGUGAAAUGUUCGGAUCGGCCGUUUGUCGCGGUUUCCGCGUCAUGUGGCUGAGAAGUUCAUUAAACCCUCCCACCUAGAGGAAGGAGAAGUCGUAACA